AGUCGUUGAUUUCACACUGCCGAGAAAAGCCUCUAGAUAGAAAAUAGGUGCCCGUACCGCAAACCGACACAGGUAGUCAAGAUGAGAAUUCUAAGGUGAGCGAGCGAACUCUCGUUAAGGAACUCGGCAAAAUGACCCCGUAACUUCGGGAGAAGGGGUGCUCUUUAGGGUUAACGCCCAGAAGAGCCGCAGUGAAUAGGCCCAAGCGACUGUUUAUCAAAAACACAGGUCUCUGCUAAACCGUAAGGUGAUGUAUAGGGGCUGACGCCUGCCCGGUGCUGGAAGGUUAAGAGGAGUGGUUAGCUUCUGCGAAGCUACGAAUCGAAGCCCCAGUAAACGGCGGCCGUAACUAUAACGGUCCUAAGGUAGCGAAAUUCCUUGUCGGGUAAGUUCCGACCCGCACGAAAGGCGUAACGAUUUGGGCACUGUCUCAACGAGAGACUCGGUGAAAUCAUAGUACCUGUGAAGAUGCAGGUUACCCGCGACAGGACGGAAAGACCCCGUGGAGCUUUACUGUAGCCUGAUAUUGAAAUUCGGCACAGCUUGUACAGGAUAGGUAGGAGCCUUUGAAACGUGAGCGCUAGCUUACGUGGAGGCGCUGGUGGGAUACUACCCUAGCUG
This 621-nucleotide ribosomal RNA is filed under the name Staphylococcus aureus. Its description in RNAcentral is "partial 23S ribosomal RNA". It matches the Rfam family "Bacterial large subunit ribosomal RNA", at positions 1589 to 2211 of the family's 2925-position model. Lineage: Bacteria; Bacillati; Bacillota; Bacilli; Caryophanales; Staphylococcaceae. The record is from RNAcentral.